GUCUCCAUAGCUCAAUUGGAUAGAGCGUCGGCCUCCGAAGCCGAAGGUUGCAGGUUCGAUUCCUGUUGGAGACG
RNAcentral lists this transfer RNA (74 nucleotides) under Thermoguttaceae bacterium. Its description in RNAcentral is "tRNA-Arg". It matches the Rfam family "tRNA". From Rfam's summary of the family: Transfer RNA (tRNA) molecules are approximately 80 nucleotides in length. Their secondary structure includes four short double-helical elements and three loops (D, anti-codon, and T loops). Further hydrogen bonds mediate the characteristic L-shaped molecular structure. tRNAs have two regions of fundamental functional importance: the anti-codon, which is responsible for specific mRNA codon recognition, and the 3' end, to which the tRNAs corresponding amino acid is attached (by aminoacyl-tRNA synthetases). tRNAs cope with the degeneracy of the genetic code in two manners: having more than one tRNA (with a specific anti-codon) for a particular amino acid; and 'wobble' base-pairing, i.e. permitting non-standard base-pairing at the 3rd anti-codon position. Lineage: Bacteria; Pseudomonadati; Planctomycetota; Planctomycetia; Pirellulales; Thermoguttaceae. The record is from RNAcentral.